CUGAAAGUGGCCUUGAACUCCUGAUCCUCCUACCUCUGCUUGAAGAUUUCGGGAUUAUAAACCAACGCCACCACACAUGAUACUAACUGUGGGAUUCAGUAGGAAAUCUAUUCCCUUGCUGAACCUGGUCUUGUGCAAGCUAGAUGCAUUAAAGCUUUCCUGCAGAAGGAUCCGAGUGUCCUGUGUGAUUCUUGCCGGCGAGAAUAUUGCGUGGGACAUCUGGUGCCGAAACCCGGGAACUUGUUAACAUUGCCGGCACUGCGGAGACCCCUUGGCUACAAGGCAGAUUCAGAACUGCAGGGUGGUAAAUUUGGAGAGGAUGAAGAGAAUCCCCUGUGGAUCCCAGAAAGACUCACCCGAAGAGCCCCUUCGGACCUUCAAAAGUCGGAACUCCACCCUCUCCCCGGGAGUUGAGAGCCGCUAUUAUUAUCCAGAUUAACUCCUGUCCUUGACGGAGAGAUUGUCAUCGCUUAAGGGGUGGGGGUGGGAUUGUUUGGUGAAGCCGUUUGCUGCGGAUUGGUGUUACUUCUCUGGCUGGUCUGUAGGCUCAAGGCUCAAACU
RNAcentral lists this long non-coding RNA (561 nucleotides) under Cricetulus griseus (Chinese hamster). RNAcentral's name for it is "lncRNA (ENSCGRG00015039663.1)". Lineage: Eukaryota; Metazoa; Chordata; Mammalia; Rodentia; Cricetidae. The record is from RNAcentral.